AACUGAUAUGGAAGCACUCGGUAUUGAUACCCGGAUUAUGGAAACCGGCGGCAAUCCGGUCGGUACAAAGGGUUGCCAAGCCGCGAGGUGGAGCUAAUCCCAUAAAACCGAUCGUAGUCCGGAUCGCAGUCUGCAACUCGACUGCGUGAAGUCGGAAUCGCUAGUAAUCGUGAAUCAGAAUGUCACGGUGAAUACGUUCCCUGGCCUUGUACACACCGCCCUGUCGACGCGGCCG
Molecule: ribosomal RNA, 235 nt
Filed under: uncultured Pseudomonas sp.
Lineage: Bacteria; Pseudomonadati; Pseudomonadota; Gammaproteobacteria; Pseudomonadales; Pseudomonadaceae
Description: partial 16S ribosomal RNA
Rfam family: Bacterial small subunit ribosomal RNA
Source: RNAcentral